AUGGCCUCCUCUAGACUCAUUCCAACAGGUCCACACAUUUCCUGUGUCAGGUGCCCCAGUCCUGCACAGAUCCCUGGGCUUUGCAAGCCAGGGCUUCUUGGUAGUGACACAGCAAAAAGGAACUCCUCAGUAUGGGAAAGAGGUGGCUGCAGAAGUGAUGUGCUUUUGCAAGGACCCAGUGUGGAAAAACUUCAAGAGAAUUAAACCACUCUUGAAGGAUUCAUAAACUGGGCACUAGGAGAGAGAGUACAGGCUGUGGUGGGCUGUGGACAGACCUGGUCAUGGUGUCAGUGAUGGACAGUGGGGUUCUGUUGAGACAUGGGCACAAGCUUUGCUUUAGCCAGGAUGAGCCCCAGUUAAAAGUAGAUCUAAGUAAGAGCUGAUCCUACAGAAAGAGCUUUUGUUGUUAUUAUUUACUUUUUAGUUGGAAAGAAAAGGCAGGUCUGGAGUUGAGCAGUAAAACAGGAGACAUCCCUGCAGAGGUGGGCAGUGAGUUUGGGUAUGGAGGCGAGUUUGGGUUUUUGGGUUGUUCGGUGGGUGGUUUUCCCUUGGAAAGGGGAUGUAGGAGAAAAGAGACCAAGAGCUGUUCAAGGCUGCUGAAAACUGCUUAGCAAAUGUGCUGGGGGCUGGGGGUGAAGGAGGCUGAGUCCAGAGAACAAGGGCUCGAGAGGAGCGUGGUCAACUGUGCUAAAAGCAAAUGAAGAUAAAAGGAAGUGGCUGACUGACAUCUUGGUAAGAAGAAGAGAUGAGAGACCUCCACCAGAGAAGUUUCUGUAAGAUGUGAGGGGCAGAAACUUCCAGAGGAACACCAGGAUAUUACAAACAGCAGUGAGCUAUGGGAGGGACCAGAGUCUGGAAGGACAAGAGGGAAAUCAAGGACAUUUCGGUACAUCUUAAAGAAAGGAGACGCUAAAGGAUGUUAGUGAAGGGGAAAUUGCAGAAUUCAAGGCUAAAUGAGAAAGAGUUAAGGAUAAUUAGAAUUAAAAGGGAUGAAAAAAGGACGAAAGACAGUGAAAUGUCAUGGAGAUGCCACUGGAAGGGAAAACAGACCAGUGCCCUACUGCAGAGGUGAGCAAAACCAGUCAGCUCAUAUUUCCUAGGAGGACAGGGGAGCCAGGAGAAGAGAGCCAGGAGUUGCAUCAGCCAGAGUUGGAGAUACACUUGUUCAGAUUCAGCUGGAUCUUACAGCUGCUUAGUUGGGAAGGUGAUGGUACAGAGGUAGAGAGAAUGAAUUGCUGCUGUGUUAACAGCUUCGGGGGGGAAAAAGUGAAAUUCAGUCAGACUCUGGGAGAACAGUCUAGACUGGAACUGAAAUGAAGCCUGAAAGUAAAUGAGCAAUUUUCAAAUUGAGAAAAGGACAGGGAGGAGAGGUCUGCAAACAGAGGAGCAGGGGAAAACUAAUUGAAUUAUCUGGAUGAGCAGUGAGCAGAGGGGGGAUUUGCACAGCAGGGAGGUGAGGAAGAGCAGUGGUUGGUGGAGAAUAUUGCAGAUUAACCAUUUGAGAGUGACUGAGGGAGUCAAACGAGCUGUGGAUGAAGUGAAGGAGCAAGGAUAUGGAGAUGCCAAGGUGAGAGACUGGUUGGGUUGUCACACCAGAACCUGACACCACCAACAGUGGGUGGAGGAAUCUGGGAGGAGAAGAAAGAGCUUUGGGUGAAUCCUGGGGGAGGAUGAGGAGAGAUUGGGCAAGAGAAAGGGCUUGAAAGCAGCAGGAACAGGAGGGAUCCCCAAUCAUUUGCACCAUGUCUGCUCCUGAUCCAGAAAGCUCAGAGAAAGGAAGAGGCUUGGAAGAGGAAGAGAGCACAGGAGACAUCCAGGAUGUUCAGGAGAGGCUGGUGGGGAGAAAUUAGAGGAUGUUGGCAGCCUAGUUCAGAAUGAAGUGGAGGUGGCAGAGGCAAAUAAAGCUGUUAACAGGCUUAGUAAUGUUACUCCACAGGUUGCAAAGGGCACAGGAGUCCUGUGGUAACUGCAAAGCGAAGGAGCAGCGCCUGAGAAGCACCUUCUCCAGGUUCCUUCCCCACUCGGUGCUGUGGUUUCACUUUCCGUGGCUCUGUUUGCUGCUGGCAGAGGUUCAGCUGGAACGGGAGAGGAGCAGGAAGAGCCUUUCCUCGGCGCAGUCUGACAGCACCUCCCUGCCCAGCGCAGAUUCCGUGCAAGGCAGAGCCUCUUCCGUGUCUGCUGAGCGACGAGCAGGGGCAGGAAAAACGCUUGUCAUGGCUUAUCUGUCCAGCAAUGAACGUGUCUGGUGCUGGAAAAUUAAUGUCUGUUACCUGUACUGCACCUACUGAUGGAACAGUUCCAGCCUGGAAUGGGCAAGAGGACCAUUUUUAAAACACUGUAGAAAAAAACAGUGCAUCAAGGAUGAACAAAGAUUUCAUUGCUUCUGGGUCUGUCUCAAAAUAAAGACAGAAAAGAAUAAAGAAAUGUGGUGGUUUGACAA
Pipra filicauda (Wire-tailed manakin) is the source of this 2440-nucleotide long non-coding RNA. RefSeq lists it as uncharacterized. The transcript has 5 exons. The record is from RefSeq and is a predicted model, not a curated record. Lineage: Eukaryota; Metazoa; Chordata; Aves; Passeriformes; Pipridae.